ACUGAGGAAUGAUGACGAUAAAAGGCCGAAUUGCAGUGUCUCCAUAAGCAGUUUGCUCUCCCUGGAUGCACGAUGACAAAAUCUCCUGAAGCGAACCUUUGGUCUGACCUCAGU
Molecule: small nucleolar RNA, 114 nt
Organism: Trichechus manatus latirostris (Florida manatee)
Lineage: Eukaryota; Metazoa; Chordata; Mammalia; Sirenia; Trichechidae
Product: small nucleolar RNA SNORD89
Exons: 1
Source: RefSeq, a predicted model, not a curated record